RNAcentral lists this ribosomal RNA (374 nucleotides) under uncultured eukaryote. RNAcentral's name for it is "partial 18S ribosomal RNA". It matches the Rfam family "Eukaryotic small subunit ribosomal RNA", at positions 592 to 976 of the family's 1831-position model. The record is from RNAcentral.
UAAUAGUGUAUAUUAAAGUUGUUGCAGUUAAAAAGCUCGUAGUUGAAUGUUGGUGUCGAACGAGCGGUCAGCUUCGGCUGUACUGCUCUCUCGACUCCUUCCUUCUGUGGACUACGUCGCACUUUACUGUGUGGCGCUAGGACGCAGAUCGUUUACUGUGAAAAAAUUAGAGUGUUCAAAGCAGGCCGUACGCUUGAAUACAUUAGCAUGGAAUAAUGGAAUAGGACGUCGGGCCUAUUUUGUUGGUUCUGGGACCGUAGUAAUGAUUGAUAGGGACAGUUGGGGGUGCUGCUAUUCCGCGGCCAGAGGUGAAAUUCUCAGAUUCCCGGAAGAGCAACUUAUGCGAAAGCAUUCACCAAGGAUGUCUNCUUUAA